Molecule: long non-coding RNA, 7520 nt
Organism: Physeter macrocephalus (sperm whale)
Lineage: Eukaryota; Metazoa; Chordata; Mammalia; Artiodactyla; Physeteridae
Exons: 2
Source: RefSeq, a predicted model, not a curated record
CUGUAAAUACAUUUAUAUAUUAUAUACAUAUUUUUCCUCAUGUCAAAUAUAUGACAUAUAUGUGCAUAUACAUGUGCAUAUACAUGUAUCUAUAUAUGUGCAUAUACAUGUAUAUGUAUAUGUGCAUAUACAUGUAUCUAUACAGUCUAGAGAAAGUUAACCGGAAACCUCAGUCCACCUCUGUGACUGUCCAAAGUCUUCUGCAAGAUUUCUGAGAAUUUCUGGGAUGAAGGGGCUGGGGGCCGGAGGUUUAUCUGCCCUUCGUUGUCUCUGGCUCCACGCACCAAGCAUGCAUCUAGCAAACCUAUGGUUUAAUGGCCCUAUUUCAAACCACAUGGAAAUGGACCUGUGGCAAUCAGCCCUCUUUCUUGGUUUCCACAGGCUCAACAUUACAUGAAAAUUUGGGAGAUAAAUGUAAGGUUGAUAUUACAGCAACACAAAUGAGUUCAUAUCAAACAUGAGAUGUUAUAACAAUAUCAGAGGGGCUAAUUCCCCAUCAGAGAUUUUUUUUCCCCCACUGGCUAUUUCAUCCCACAUAAUAGUCUGUAUUUUCUUGUUAGUUUAUUACACUUUCCUCUUCUCUCAUGAUUCACCCUCAUUACUAUCCUCCUAAAUCACUCCUGGGAAUUCCAGAUUCUCUUCAUUUUGUUUUGCACAGCAAAUUCAACUCUCUCCAACCCCUGGCGAAGGGCAGCUCCAGUUUACCUUUGCAUAUCCAAACUGGUCAGAGUGGUGCAGAUCAAAAGAUGCUUUUAUUUAACAGGAGCCUCCCUAAGGUUAUGGCUGUGAAUAGAAUUACUCCCCUUGAAAAUGGCAUAUCCUCUCCUUGAUCACCACAAAAACCUUUGUUGGGUCACUCACAAUCUGUUAUCCGGACUGUUGCGUCUGAACUGGUUUCUUCCUAACUGGUUCCUAACCAGUGGCUUCCUAACUGGUUUCUCUGUCUCCAUUCUCCCUCACCCCACAUUGGUCCUCCACAUGCCAGAGUGAGACUUUUCCAAGAUGCAAUUCUGUUGACAUCAGUCACCUGCUUGAAAUUCUUCCGUGGUAACCCAUAUUCUGCAGAAUCAUCUUCAAAUCCCUUGGCCUGGCAAACAUGGCCCUGCUGAUCUUUCGUCCUCAUCUGUCCUCACGUGCCCUGUGCUUAAGCCAUACUAGCACCGUGCAGUGCACUGAACCAGUGAUGCUGCCUCUUGACACAUACCUUUCACAUACCAUCCUACCUCCUGGAAUUCCCCUCCCACUCUUUACCUCGGGGGAGCGCCUACUCAUUCUUCAAGAGACCUUGAAAGAUGAGUAGCUGAUUGAACCAAGGAGAUGGGGAACAGGGUGCCUUUCAAAGGAGACUCUAUUCUCUUCCACACUCUCCCUGGGUGACCUUAACCAAACUCCUAUCUUUAAAUUCCACUCGUACCACGUGAUGCCCAAAUCCUUACUUCCAGCACAAAUACCACCCUUGUGAUUCUAAACCCGUACAUUCAAAAGAACAGGCACCUCAGACACAACAUAUUUAAGGCUGAACUCAUCUUUUUCCUCCAACACCUGCUCCUGUUAUAUUCUGUAUUCCACUAUCUCGCAAUACAUUUUACCUUGCAUUAUAUACUAUCUGUGUAGAUGUCUUAAUCUUCCUACUAUCCUACUGGAUUCUAUAUCCUGGAGAUCCGGGGCUUUAUCAGCAAGCACUCAAUGCAUAUAUCUGAAUAGAUGGAGAUGAUUAGCUGCUCGGCAACAAUGAAGAGACAGAUGACAGUAUCUUCUCGCCAUCCCUCCCAGGGUGGCCAAAGGGUGAUGUGGGACCAAAAACAAUCAUGGUUGAGAAGCCAAGUCUAGAGGCGAGAUUGGUCCCAGGGUCUGUGACAGGGCAGGACCUACAUGUGGAGGCUAAGGGGCUCCAAGGAGCGCAUCACUAGGGAGCGGCCCGUGGUAGGCACUCCCUCUGUGUGCAUUGCAGGGCCAGAGCUCUAAGAAUAUCUGCAUCCACUCUUGCUGGCCCUCCUCUCUCAAAGCCUCACUCCACCCCUUCUCCCAUGUGAUCUGGGGCCAUGGUCAGGAUGUAUUCAUGAGCGGCUGUGCAAGCCACAGUCGGGAGAGUGUUCGGGUAAGCCAAGGACUGACAACUGGCAAGUGGAAGUCCUGUUCUCUACAUCCUGAGGUCAAAUUAGUAUAAUCCUCAAACCCCUAACUCUUGAAUUCAUUAGACAAAUUUGCAUGCUGAAGCAGUCUUUACUCUGAUAUACUAUUUGUACAUUGGCUACUUUGCACUAAUUUUCAGAUGACUAAUAACUUGUUCCAUAUUGAAACUUUGUGUAAUUAGCCAUCGAGUCUUUAUGACAAGUUCAGCAGGUUCUUAGCAACACGAUUUUUGUGGGGCUAUACAUUUAGAAGUUUUAAAAAUUAAGCAUGGAUUUGAAGUCUAGCCAUCUCCUCUCUGAUCGAAAUACUGUUGUCACUAGUACCCACAGCUAAAUUCUCUGUCUUCCUGAAUGAAAUCUCAGCUGAUCCAUCUGAGUAAUCAUCGUUACAUAAACACACAAAAAAAUGAUCUAAAGUCAGUCUCAAGCCACAAUGUGAAAUUUGCCCUCAACUGUUGCCUCAUAGUUGCAGACUAUGCAGGAGACCAGAAGAAAGCUGAAAAUAUCACAGUCAGAGGAGCAAGAUCAUACUCACCAAUGUGCUUAUUUAUUUUUCUCUAAAUGCUGCCAGGAAGUUUGGGUGAUUCUUCUCCACGACGCUCUUAAGAAGGUUAACAAGAAUCUUGAUCUGUCAGAACUUGUUGGGAUGGUAACUCUGCUUUUACCCCAGAAGCUGUCAUUAAUAAAUUUGUUUUUAAAGAAAUGCAAAUUAUUUUUAACAGAAGCAAAAAAAAAAAAAAAAAGGCAAAACAAAUCCAGCUUCUUCUCCACCCAUGAUAUUCACAAGUUAGAAGUCACCAUUGGGGUGAUAAAAAAUAUGAAAUCAAUGAAAAAUGCUUACGGAAAGAGACACACUGACAGAGAUUACUUGAAAUUCAGAGAGAAGAUUCUGAGAAAACAGAGAAUGACAGCAUUUCCCUUUGGGUCUUCACAUGUGCAAAAGCAGAACAAUCCCAAGCCUUCUACAUUUGAAGUAAAGAUAUUGGAGUAAUAUUUUUUAUUUUUUAUCCAGAUCAUGGCUGGUGUCUUGAUGCACCUGAGAGGCCGGAAACUGUAGUGGUCGAGGGUUCAUCCUUUGUAUUAAGACAGACCUAAGUCUGAUGCUCAGCUCUGCCAUUACUAUUUAACUUGGUGCAAAUUGUUUGUUUCAUUUGCCUUGGCUGAAAAAUUGGGAUCAUAAAUUCCUCCUGUAAAACAUUUCAUGUAAUGCCCAACACUUAAUAAGUGGUCCAAUAAAUAGUGGUUAGUGUUAUGAUGGGUCCUUUUAAACAUGACUUUUCUCAAAGGAAAAACAUCUGUUAUGAAAGGUCCGGGAGUGGAAUAAGCACAGCCAAGGGGCUUCUGGAAGCCCCUUUAAAUGGCAUCAUCAUUAUCAUCAAAAAGUGGCUUGGUCUGAACUAGCUCAUUGCCCACAUUACAGUAUCCCCUGCAGAAAGGAGACAGGGCCAGGGGAUGCCUCCCUGUGGAAGUUAGAGAGCAGUCUACACUGGGAAUUGCACACUAAGUGGGCAGGUGUUGACUGUGCCCUCUGGGGACAGUGUUUAUCAGAAAAACACUUGUAUGGGCAGGUAAUGUACUCCCUGUACAAAGCAGAACCAAUAUCUGGAGGUGUUCUUUUUUUUUUUUUUCCGUUUUGGCUGCGCCGUGCGACAUGCGGGACCCUAGUCCCACGCCCCCUGCAGUGGAAGCAUGGAGUCUUAACCACUGGACUACCAGGGAAGUCCCUAUUUGAAGGUGUUCUUGACAUAACUUAUACAAGAAAUCCAGUGAAUUUUCACUGUGCUGCCCAAAUCCCAAUAUCAACUCACAAGUCUCAAGAACCCACACAUGCGAAACCAAAUCCUCUUCUGUGCAUUUUAUACCCCCUAGCUCUCUUGGUUACAAUUACUGUGAACUUCUGUCAUGGGGGAGAGAUGUAGGAGGGGAUAAACCAUAAACAACCAAAAACAUUGUAUUGGAUAAUUUCUAGGAGAGGUAAGCAGAACGGAGGUUAUUGCUUUAAUAGUCAGAGAAAGAGUAAAGCUGGAGGAUGAUUUAAGGGGACAAUGCUUUCAAGAGAAGCAGUAACUGAAGACUGGGAAGUAGCCACCAUAAUUUUCCGAAACCUGUUGUUUCUUCCAGUUCCCUAUUCAACAAUGUGUAGUAGUUUCUAUCUCUGGGGGAGAUGCUGUGAAAAAAAUGCCAUUGGGAAUUCAGGUAGGGAAACCAAACAACUUGGGGAAAAGUUUUCUGUAUUUUGAACUUUACAUGGCAUUAUUUUUGUUCCUCCAGAAGACUUGUCAGAACAGAUAGAUCUCUUGAGUCAAUUAAUACCGUCGUCAAGGUGCACAUUUAUUCAGGCCAGUUAUUCCAGAAGAAAUAGAUGACAGUCUAAAUGUUGCCUGGGCCUGCAUUUCACUGAAGAGUGUGUAGGGUAUCGAGAUUUGUGCAUGUCCAAAAUUCCAUGUCUAAUGGUUGGUCGUUUUUCCCAAUUAUAAGAGAACAAAGAGCCAUGGAGAGAUGCUGACAUAGCAUUGACAAAGCUUGAGAUGUAUUUCCUAUUUUACAUCAGUGCUUCAAACUCUUGCCAUAUUUAGAGAUAAAUCUUAUGGCAAUUUGAUGUUAACACUCCUACAGAAAACAGCCUGGAGUCACCAGAUCUUUAAAGUAGCCUAAGUUUUCACCACUAAGCUCAUUGCCAAUCUUGUGGGUAACACAUACCAAUAGAAAUCUUUUCCCUAUCUUUUUCUGUUUUCCCCACAUUUUCUCAUUAGAUGCUGAGUGCAGUCCUGUGAACUUCCUAAGAAACAUGACCUAUGGCUAAAAUGCUAUUUCUCAAUCUAAAUGGAGUCAGCUGAGAAACAGUGCACUAACUCCUCCUACUUAUACCUGGGCAAGUUAGUAAUUUCCACAGGCCAGGAUGGUUCCAUAAAUACCUUUUCUAUACAUCAAAAUACAUAAAUGUUCCUGUUCAUACACACUAACACAAAGAAAAUUUCUUAAAUAACGUCAAGUGGUUCCCCAGUGACCUGCUAGAGGAACCCACACAAGUGUAUCUCCAACAUCUAGUGUCAAGUUUUUUCCAGCCCUCCUUUCUUCUUCACCGUGUGCCUUUUUGCCAUUCUUUCAUAAUCAGUCAUGAGCACACCUUCUAUUCCUGAUAGUGUGAAGGUGAUUGAGUAAACUACAAAAACCUGCUAGGGAGCUGGCAGGCGGGGUUGAGAGGGGAGCCUGAUUUCUCAAUGGGUCUUAGAAUUACGUGGUCACAUGAAUUUCCUCUAUUACCCUGAUGUAGAUAUAUUAAUACAUGGAAUGAGAGAUUUGUUUUAUUCAGAAGCCUACUUCCAACUUACAGUAACAAUAAUCAUUUAAAAUAGUUUGGUUUAGGAUAGGGCAUUAGGAUAACACUUGCAUUCAAAUGCAUUUACCUAGUAGCUCUGAAAAUACAAUGUCUGGGAAUUUGUGACAACUUGGGAACAUGAUCCAGGAGAACAUUUCCUUAUGUUUCUGUUUCUUCUUGCUUGAUUCACCGGUUCCUAUUAAUAUUUAAGAAACUUGUGUAUUUGAAGGCUUUGGGGGCAAGAUUCUCCAAAAACGUUAACAGUUUUUACAACACCCAUCCCCAUCCUCAGUUUUGUGGAAAAUCUUAUCAACAUAAAGACACAGCAAUGGUUUUCAUGUGUUGAAAGAUACUCCAAAGUUUUAUUAUAAUGUCGGACAGUUCAUAUGUGGGGUCACUAGUGCAAUUAUAAUUUACCAUUUACCGUAACUGAGACCAAGAUAUGAAAACAGUGCUACAUCUAAGUGUUAACCAGCCAUGCAGUGGAAAGAUUACAACCACAUUUUUUUCCUACAAGUAUCCUAUCUUUUCCAACAACCACCAAAUCCCACUUGAGGUGUGAGCUUUACAGAAUUACAACUGAACUCAAAUGCAUAAUGUUUCUCCCUAUCCAUCUUCUCCCACGCAGGCUAUUGGAAUAGCCAACGUAAUGAUUGGUUUCAGAUUUAGCUAGCUGGGAAAUGAAGAAACAUAUAUGAAAAAUAUACAGCGGUCCCUCAGUAUACACAGAGGAUGAACCCCAUGGAUACCAAAAUCCGAGACUGCUCGAGUCCCUUAUAUAAAGUGGCAGUCCAGUGGUUAGGACUCUGCGGUCUCUCUGCCGAGGGCCUGGGUUCAAUUGCUGGUUGGGGAAAUAAAAUCCCGCAAGCUGCACGGUGAGGCAAAAAAUUUAAAAUAAAAAUAAAUAAAUAAAAUAAUAAAAUAAAAGUAAAGUAAAAUAAAAUAAUAAAAUAAAAUAAAAUGUAGUAGUACAGGGAAUAGAGUUGGCCCUUUGUCUUUAGAGGAUGCGACACCUGCGGGAACAGAGAGCUGACUGUAGCGUUCCCCAUCAAACCAGUUUUUCUGUUGUUCUCCGUUCUGGAAAACAAAGUGAUGAAAAUGGAAAGUAAAAAGAAGGAUGCUGAAAGGGCUCAGGUUGUGUGUAGAAUUUCUCUUUGCUCGUGGUCUAACUGGCAUAAACCUUAUCAGGCUGUCCCAGACAUGUUGGCUGUAAAACCGUGGGGCACUGGUACAGAUCUAAAGCAUUCAUUGGGCUCAGAAUCUACUUGAACUUUCUAAACAUCUUGAGGCAUCAGGUCCUUAUAAACAUGUUCCAUAGGGGCCAGAGGCAUUCAUGCAUGAACAAAGCAAGACCACUUACAGAAGAGAAUCCAUUUACAGGUGGCUUGGAAAGUGGUUGCAAUUCUAGGACUAUGCUUAUUAAGUUAGACUCUAAUAAUUAUUUUUUUAAGUUGAUUUUAUUUUUUUAAAGAUUUUUCUGAUAUGGACCAUUUUUAAAGUCCUUAAUGAAUUUGUUACAAUACUGCUUCUGGUUUUAUGUUUUGGCUUUUUUGGCCAUGAGGCAUGUGGGAUCUUAGCUCCCCGACCAGGGAUAGAACCUGCACCCCCCUGCCUUGGAAGGCGAAGUCUUAACCACUGGACCGCCAGGGAAGUCUCGACUCUCAUAAUCACUUAACUAUUAAUGUUAACUACAUCACAACCUUCAGCAAAUAUCCAUAGCAAAGUUCACAGGAGUCUUAAAAAAAAAAGAAAAAAAUUUUAAAAAUUUCCAUUUGAAUGGGCUAGUAUGGAUUGAACUUUAACUGAAUAUAUAACUACGAUGUUGGCCUUUCUACAUUUACAUCCUUGCUCAAUAAACAAAACCCAAAUAUGCUAAAUAUUUCAUCAGCUUCUCCCUAACUAGUUAUCAUCCUUCAAAAUGGAGAUUUGAAUAUACUUCUUAAUUUUACUUGCUGAGUGUUUUCCCAAUACCAAUCUUAAAACAAAAAUCUGGUUGCAGACAGAAAUUCUCCUUUCUAUUCUCUGCCUCCUUAGACUCCCACUCUAGUUAAAAAAAAAAAAAAAACAAA